This 465-nucleotide ribosomal RNA is filed under the name Vreelandella stevensii. RNAcentral describes it as "partial 16S ribosomal RNA". It matches the Rfam family "Bacterial small subunit ribosomal RNA", at positions 338 to 795 of the family's 1533-position model. Lineage: Bacteria; Pseudomonadati; Pseudomonadota; Gammaproteobacteria; Oceanospirillales; Halomonadaceae. The record is from RNAcentral.
CCUACGGGCGGCAGCAGUGGGGAAUAUUGGACAAUGGGCGAAAGCCUGAUCCAGCCAUGCCGCGUGUGUGAAGAAGGCCUUCGGGUUGUAAAGCACUUUCAGUGGGGAAGAAAGCCUUGGGGCUAAUACCCUCGAGGAAGGACAUCACCCACAGAAGAAGCACCGGCUAACUCCGUGCCAGCAGCCGCGGUAAUACGGAGGGUGCGAGCGUUAAUCGGAAUUACUGGGCGUAAAGCGCGCGUAGGCGGUCUGAUAAGCCGGUUGUGAAAGCCCCGGGCUCAACCUGGGAACGGCAUCCGGAACUGUCAGGCUAGAGUGCAGGAGAGGAAGGUAGAAUUCCCGGUGUAGCGGUGAAAUGUGUAGAGAUCGGGAGGAAUACCAGUGGCGAAGGCGGCCUUCUGGACUGACACUGACGCUGAGGUGCGAAAGCGUGGGUAGCAAACAGGAUUAGAUACCCGUGUAGUC